CCAAAGUGUAGUUGUCGUAACAGUUAUUGACUUUGCUUAUUCGUCUCUGAUUCCCCAUGAAACGUCACUGGCACAGAAUGAGAGCAGUUUGUGAAGCGACUACAUAGAAUUGGCAUUCCAGACGGAGAUCUUUGGUUGGGUGAUGUAACCAUUUAUUGCCGAAUAUAAAAUAAAUUAGCAAUCCAUUUGAUUUACCGAACAAAUGUGCAGAGAGGUGUAUUACAAGCUGAUCUAGUGAGAAGGUAAGAACCAUAUGCUCUCUCCUUCAACCUCUGAACUAACACUUCCUGUUCACGUGGGUACAUGUGAGUACUCCAAUCACCAAUGGUGCUUCUCAAUAAUCUAUCCUACCUCCUGAAGUGUACACUUGUUCACUACUUCCCACAAAUGCUUAAUGUUUUUUCUUGCACGCCGCCUCUCCCUCUGCCAGCGUGUUCCACAUGACGUCAGGCUGAACAGGGAUUCAGGAAGGGGAAUGCAGCUUUUUGAUAAUGGCGUCCCUCAAGGAGGCAAGAAAGAGAUUUCUAUUCAGAAAUGUCGAGUUUUAACUAGGAGUCGUUUAAUAGGAUUUCGGAAGAGGAAUGGAGGGAAAAAGAUGAGAGGUUGAAUUUGAAUCUGAAGAUGGCGGAAAAGAAUGAGAUGGUGUGUCGAAGAAUAUUGUUGUCAAGUACAAACAGAGUGAGCCAUACGCCAUACUGAGUUCUGGCAGUGAAAUUAAUAAGGGCCAAUUAAGUGACGUGGAUGGUGUGGUGAAGUGCUCGGAGUAUGACCCUUGCGUGGAUGGACAUGAUAAAGAAGAAUCUGGUCCAGUAGGAGUACAUUUCUGGGAGAGUGGAUCCUUGCUCUUUGCCGGAUCUAGUUGUGGUUUCAGAGAGGGUGGGAAAUAAGUUAGGUGUAGUUGAAUCAGUGAAGGUAACCCGUAGUGGACUGAUAGUUUUUUGUGUUACUUCCGCCCAGAUGGACUCGGCACUCACUUAACAGGUUAAGAUCUGUUUCUUGCUUUGCUCUUAGGAGCAGGGCACCAUUGAAAUUAGUGAUUUUUGGGGUAGCGUUAAGUGUGGAGGUGGAGCAGUUGAACAUUCCUGGUGUUUGUGAUGGCCGUCGUUUGGUGCGCUGCAGACCCAGUGGGGAGCGUGGUGAAACAGCGGUGUCAGUCUGUCUUUUUGAGUCUCUACCUGAAAAAGUAAUGUUAGUGUUACAGUAUAACUUUAAACCGUCCCCUCGCCCCGACACGGGCGCGAACCAGGGACCCUCUGCACACAUCAACAACAGUCACCCACGAAGCGCCGUUACCCAUCGCUCCACAAAAGCUGCGGCCCUUGCAGAGCAAGAUGCAACACUACUUCUAGGUUUCAGAGCAAGUGACGUAACUGAUUGAAACGCUACUAGCGCGUACCCGCUAACUAGCUAGCCAUUUCACAUCCGUUACAUUAGGAUAUAUCAGUUAUCCUGUUAGAGCUGUUGUGUAGAACCCACUGUGAUGUUUCAGGUGCCAUGUUUAUUGUCGCAGCAGUUUGUAGGAGGGAGAUUCCAAGAUGUGGGAAGUGUGCUGGAGGGCAUAGGACAGAGGAUUAUGUAGUUUAAGUGGAUAAAGUUGUGUGUGUCAACUGCAGGGGUUCCCAUGUUGCAGGGGAUUGGAAGUGUCCCGUGCGAGUGAGGCAGGUUGAGGUGGUCAGAACAGUGCAGAAAGUGUUGUAUGCUGAGGCAGUGAAGAAAGUAGAGGAGGAUGGUUUAAGGGUGAGGGAUCCCUGUGAGUAGUAGAUGUGUGCCAGCACAUAGGGAUAGGCCAAUGAGUGAUCUAUGCUUUAGUAAGGUUGGCUUCUUAGCAUUCAUAGCAAUAGUUAUUAACUGUACUGCAGAAUGAAAUUAAAAUGACAGAAAAUGGAAUGGGGUAGUUGGUUUUUAAUGAGUUGGAAGGUUUUUUUAUUUUUAUUACAUUUUUCCUUUUCCCAUUUUGUAUCAGAAGGUAUAAUGGAUUUAUACUAUAGUCCAGUUGGGGGUGGUAAUGCAACAUAUUUUGGUAUUUUAUUAGGAUCCCCAUUAGCUGUUGCGAAAGCCACAGCUACUCGUCCUGGGGUCCACACAGAACAUGAAACAUUACAUAAUACAGAAAAUUAAUAGACAAGAACAGUUCAAAGAUAGAACUACAUACAUUUAAAAGUAGCACGCAUAACCUACACGUCAAUACAUACAAACAAAAUAUCUAGGUUAAAUAGGGGAGAAGCGUGAAGUGUUGCUUUCUGUUUUUUGAAACAAGGUUUGCUGUUCAUUUGAGAAAUAUGAGAUGGAAGGGGAUGCAAUAAUGCAAUGCAAUAAUGUCUCUAUAUAAUACUGUACGCUUUCUUGAAUUUGUUCUGGAUUUGGGGACUAUGAAAAGACCCCUGAUGGCAUCUCUGCUCUGGUACGUAUGUGUGUCAGAGCUAGGGUUGGAAACUUUCCGGGAAAUUUUCCAUGGGAAGUUAAGCCUGGGAAUUUUGCUUGAAUUCAUCAAAAAGGUUAUCUUAUAACGGGUAACUUUUUUUGUGGGAUACACAUAAGGCAAUUCUAGGUCUUGUGGCAUAUUUUGGUUAAACUAUCCCCAAUUCAAUGGAAUUGUAACCCUCUGCAUGCACAGUGCAUUCUUUCAUCACAUGUACAGCUUAUUCUCAAGAUCUUGCACACUAAUGAGACGCUAUUGAGUCCACACUGCUACUGUCUGAGCCAAGGACUACAUGCUUUCUGGAAAAUGCCACGGGCACUAUCUAAUGUGUGGCGACAUUUCACUGCAGCUAAUGUAGGAAAAGCUGUGUAUGUACAUUUGCAAAUACUGUGGCAAAUCAUAUGUGAAGAAUGCAACAAAGAUGCAAAAUCAUCUGGCCAAGUGCAUAAAGUUCCCUCAGCGCUCACAACAAGCAACCUCUGACAAAAGUCCCUCUACUUCUUUUCAAGGUGAAAAUGAUGAAUCAGACAUCUUAUCGGAAGCAACAUCUCAUGUUCCUCCUGGAAUCUGAAGUGUUUUUGACUCAAUGGAGGAACGUAGUCAGAGAAAUGCUGAUGAAUGUCUUGCUCGAGCUGUGUAUGCAACUGGUUCACCUUUGAUGCUCACAGGCAAUGUGUAUUGGAAGAGAUUUCUGAAUGUUGUUCUCCCUGCAUACACCCCUCCAACCAGACAUGCUUUAUCGACUCAUUUGCUGGAUGCAGAGUUCAAGGGAAGGUCAAGCAAAUCAUAGAAAAAGCAGACUGGAUUGCAAUCAUCUCUGAUGGGUGGUCAAAUGUUCGUGGGCAAGGAAUAAUUAACUACAUAAUCUUCACCCCUCAACCAGUAUUCUACUAGCGCACAGACACAAGGGUCAACAGACACACUGGUCUCUACAUUGCAGAUGAGCUGAAGGCAGUCAUCAAUGACUUGGACCACAGAAGGUAUUUGCACUGGUGACAGACAAUGCUGCGAACAUGAAGGCUGCUUGGUCUAAAGUGGAGGAGUCCUACCCUCACAUCACACCCAUUGGCUGUGCUGCUCAUGCACUGAAUCUGCUCAUCAAGGACAUCAUACAAGAGAGCCAAGGAAAUGGUUAGGUAUGUGAACGGUCAUCAAGUUAUAGCAGCAAUCUACCUCACCAAGCAAAGUGAGAAGUAUAAGAGCACCACAUUGAAGCUGUCCGGCAACACCCAUCGGGGUGGUGUUGUUCCUGGAGGGGAAGGAGUCUCUCCCAAAUAUGGCCAUAUCACAGUCUGCCGAUAUGGACAGCCUCAUCAAGAGGAUACUCCUGGAUGUAUUUUGGGAGAGAGUGGUAAGCAGUCUGAAACUCAUGAAACCUUAGCCAUUGCACAGAUUUAGGGAGACAAUGCCAUCCUGUCUGACGUUCAGACUCUGCUUGCAGAUGUAAGGGAAUAAAUCUGUACUACCCUGCCCACUUCACUGUUGCUCCAAGCAGUGGAAACUGCAGUUCUGAAAUGCAUCAAAAAGCGUGAAGACUUCUGCCUGAAGCCCAUACACGCUGCAGCGUACAUGUUGGACCCCACGUAUGCUGGCAAGAGCAUCCUGUCUAGUGCAGAGAUCAACAAGGCCUAUGGUGUCAUCACUACCGUGUCUCGCCACCUUGGCCUGGAUGAGGGCAAGGUUCUUGGCAGUCUGGUGAAGUACACUUCCAAGCAAGGGAUUUGGGAUGGAGAUGCAAUAUGGCAGUCGUGCCAACAUAUCUCAUCAGCCACCUACUGGAAGGGACUGAGGCUCUUUCCCCUGUUGCCUCCAUCAUCCUCCAAAUCCUACCAACAUCAGCCGCCUCAGAGCGCAACUGGUCCUUUUUGGGAACACACACACCAAAGCACGCAACAGGCUGACCAAUACAAGGGUUGAAAAAUCUGUGGCCAUCCGGGCAAAUUUGAGGCUUUUUGAGCCUGACAACAAGCCAUCCUCAACAAGGUUGGAAAGUGACAGUGAAGAUGAGGCCUCAAAGUCUGAUGUUCUAGAGGUGGACAUUGAGGAGGUCCAGGGAGAAGACAUGGAAGCCUGAGAGGAAGACAACCAAAGCUUUAGUUUCUAGACUAUCAUUUUACAGAUGCAUGUUAAAUGUUUUUGCGAGAUGUGAUGGAUCAUUGGGAUCAUUCAAUGUUCCCUUUUGAUGUUCAGUGAAAUCCCAUGUUAAGAGUCAACUAAUUUAAAGUUCAAUUCGUAACUAAAUAGUUAUUUUUUUCUAUUGGAAGGAUUUAAUCAUUUGCAAUUAUGUUUUACUUGUGAUAAGGUAAAAGGUUUAUGUUUCUGUCUCUAUGAUAUGGUAAAUAUAUCCAAUGCAAGAAACAUCGACAUUUUAACUGGCAUAAAUAUUCAUUUACAUAUAUUUCCUUUAAUUCCCCUCUUUUCCUGUUAAUUCACACAAAAGUUUCAACCUCUGAAUAUUCCCCAAAAUGUGAAUCCCUAGUCAGAGUUGUGCUUAAGUUGAAUAUUGCAAACAAUUUUGAAUUUUCAUCACAUUAAGGUUUCUUAUAAAAAGAAGAGAUGCAGUCAGUCUCUCAACUCUUAGCCAGAGAGACUGGGAUGCAUAGUAUUUAUAUUAGCCCUCUGAUUACAAUGAAGAGCAAGAUGUGCUGCUCUGUUCUGGGCCAGCUGCAGCUUAACUAGGUCUUUCUUAGCAGCACUUGACCACAUGGCUGGACAAUAAUAAAGAUAAGACAAAUCUA
Long non-coding RNA from Salvelinus fontinalis (brook trout), 5157 nucleotides. RefSeq lists it as uncharacterized. The record is from RefSeq and is a predicted model, not a curated record. Lineage: Eukaryota; Metazoa; Chordata; Actinopteri; Salmoniformes; Salmonidae. The transcript has 2 exons.